This 496-nucleotide ribosomal RNA is filed under the name uncultured bacterium. RNAcentral's name for it is "bacterial SSU rRNA". It matches the Rfam family "Bacterial small subunit ribosomal RNA", at positions 28 to 478 of the family's 1533-position model. The record is from RNAcentral.
GAUGAACGCUGGCGGCGUGCCUAAUACAUGCAAGUCGAACGCAUUGUGGUUGAAAUGAUAUGAAGAACUUGUUCAGAUUUGAUUUUCAACAUUGCAAUGAGUGGCGAACGGGUGAGUAACACGUGGGAAACCUACCUCUUAGCAGGGGAUAACAUUUGGAAACAAAUGCUAAUACCGUAUAAUAAUUAAAACCGCAUGGUUUUAGUUUAAAAGAUGGUCUUGCUAUCACUAAGAGAUGGUCCCGCGGUGUAUUAGUUAGUUGGUGAGGUAAUGGCUCACCAAGACAAUGAUACAUAGCCGAGUUGAGAGACUGACCGGCCACAAUGGGACUGAGACACGGCCCAUACUCCUACGGGAGGCAGCAGUAGGGAAUCUUCCUCAAUGGACGAAAGUCUGAUGGAGCAACGCCGCGUGUGUGAUGAAGGGUUUCGGCUCGUAAAACACUGUUGUAAGAGAAGAAUGACAUUGAGAGUAACUGUUCAAUGUGUGACGGUAU